AUCAGUCUCUCGAACUCGCUCAUCUCUCUCGUUCCCUCUCCCUCACACCGAAUCUCACUAUCCCUUUCACGUGAAGCUCACUCUCGAACGGAAACCCUAAACACAUCAUUCACAAAAUUAUUGGCAUUUUUCUGUUGAUCCGUUUCAUGUUUGUUAAACGGUGUUUGUUUGUUUUUGGUUUUGUAGUUCCAUCAGUACCAGGUUGUCGGGAGAGGUUUUCCAACGGAAUCAGAUCCACACCCAAAGAUUUUUCGUUUGAAGCGUUGGGCUACCAAUGAAGUUCGUGCUAACUCCAAGUUCUGGUAUUCUAUAAUGGUUGUGAAUUGCAGCAUGGUCCAUAUGAGCGUUUGUUGAACAGGGUUGAAGCGUGUGCUAUUGAUACAUGGCCUCAAUUGCAACUACUAAGGCUUGCAUAUGUGGGGAACUCAAUUGUGUUAUAUAUUAUCUUUUUGUGACUGAAUCACUGGCCCAUCACUACACUCCAGCUUUUAGUGCUUGUGUCCAUUGCAAAAAUAGAGCUACAAAUCCACUCCCUAUGCACUUGGAGAGCCUUGUCUUUAGUAACAGGUUUUCUCAUUUUGGAAUUCAAUAUAGGCCAUUCAAGCUAAGUAUCACAUGCACAACUCCAUAUAUUUUUUAUGGUAAUAAUACUAUAUUCAUUUCUAUCAUGACCUAUGAUGAUGAUAUCUACUGUGAAUUCAGAAAGAAUGAUCAGUUCCUUGCUAAGAUUUUUCCAAUAUAUUUGUCAUGUGUGAAAUUAGACCAUGGGAGUUAAUUGAUCCAACAAUUAAUUUGUGCAAG
Molecule: long non-coding RNA, 801 nt
Organism: Trifolium pratense (red clover)
Lineage: Eukaryota; Viridiplantae; Streptophyta; Magnoliopsida; Fabales; Fabaceae
Exons: 3
Source: RefSeq, a predicted model, not a curated record